Molecule: long non-coding RNA, 6768 nt
Filed under: Coffea arabica (coffee)
Lineage: Eukaryota; Viridiplantae; Streptophyta; Magnoliopsida; Gentianales; Rubiaceae
Description: long non-coding RNA (CARA_LNC007381)
Source: RNAcentral
CGCAGAGAACCUUGGGAAAUUUUAGGAAAUCUGUUAUAUCUUAAUGUAGAAAAAAGUCAAAUUUGAGUUUUGUUUAUUAUGUUUGAAACUAGAUUCAGAGUACUAUCAACCGCAAAAUUUCAGCAUUGUUCUCAAUUCCCAUGAAUAUCUGUGAUUUUUCACAAUUGACUGAACUUGCAUACUUGUUCUAUCUUUUACUUGAUGAAGCAGCAAAUUUAGGUUGGAAUUUGACUUACUUGUGGAUAGGAUGUGGCCCCACCUCCCCCUAAGGCGAACCAGAGGGUUCGGCGGACCGCCUGCCCAACUCUCGCCGGGACUCAGUCGAAUCUCAAUCAAAUCCAAAAUAAAACCACAAGAUCAAACAAAAUAACAAUCCAAAACUUAAAGCGAAACGUAUAUACAUUUCUAUUUCAAAAGGAAGUACAAUUAUCGAAUAUACAAAGGUUCUCAAUUCGUCAUUCAUCUAGCCCGUGCCAAACACUAGGGCGAGAACCAUUACAAAACAAAAAAACUAGACUAGGCUAACCUACACUGGGCUCUCGUCCUUGCUCGCAUCCCCCUGUUAAGGAAAACAAAACUAAAGGGGUGAGUUAAAAGCUCAGUGAGGUUCCGAACACAUAGGCAACAAGAAGUUCAAAGCAUUCAUUACAUAUAACCAAUAAUUUAAGAUACAAAUACAAAAUAAAGUGAUAAACACAUUCAUUAAAAGGAUACGGCUCACAGGAAGCUAUUCAUUCGUUCGUUCGUUCAUUCAUUCUCCUGUCAUUCCCCUUAUUCCUCCAAUCAUUUAAAAUGCAUUUUUGUAAGUAAAACCCUCGUUUGCAUUGACAUACGUUCGUUCAUUUUAUUCACCCCCUCCUGGACGUUGGCCAGGCUCCACCCGACAACAAGGUAAUACUCGAGUAUACCAAACGUUCACCCAGGGUCACUAAAUCGCCCGACCGAGUCCGUUUUUGGCUCGAGUCGAUCAGCAACGAAUGGCAAGGGCCCAGUUCAGCCAAACGGCAUACAUUCAUGCGCAACUAGCAUUUAAUCAUUUAAUCAUUGAAAAUUUCACAUUCAUUUAGGUCGAGUGCGAUAAAGUACACACUCGCCUAGAAAACUCAUUUUAAGCAAUCAUUGAAAGCACUUAACACAUUAUCAAACAGCAACAACAAGCCAUGAAAUCAAGAAAAAUAUAACAAACAAGGAACACUCACCUAGUUAAAUAAAAUAAUGUCCAAAGUAUCCUCUCGGAUAACACUCUCAAUCGCCAAGAAACCCUAAUAAUAGCCAAGAGAAAAUAUUAUAGUUAAACCCCUCCAAAGUUUAAGUGAACCAAAGAAAAUCUGAAUAACUACUAGUACAAAGUAUAAGUAUAGUUUUGGAAGUGAAAAGAGUACAUUUAAACCAAGGCUAUGAGUAAAAUUUUUGUAAAACUUAUGCUUGCUCGUAAAACUUUGAAAUCUCCAUUUAAGUCGAAGUGAUAAAGAAAACGUACUCUGAGCAGUCAUUAUUUUAUUUCUCAAGGGUAUAAGUUCGGCCAAAUCCUUACUUAUAUACAUCGGUAAAAGAAGAUGCAAAUAUCCUAGAUGGUUCAAGUGAUAUUCACUCUUAACCCUUACUCAAGUUGCAAGUAUAGUUUUCUAGUUCUCGAGCGUAAAUUUGGGCAGUAUGCCCUUUGUGUUUACCUAAUUUUUCAGCCAUUCUGGCUUCAUUAUUUUUUUCUCAUUUAAACCCAAAGGUACAUACACAACAAUCUAACUUCAAUAGCCAUCUAAUAGGCUCAAGACAAUACAAGGACAAAAAUCAACUAACAACAAGUGCAGAAAUCAAAUUUAACAAGAGACAGAUUUGAUAGAGUUUUGCGUAACGGACACAGCCGAAGCUACGCUUAUCGGAUUGGGGUGAAAAUUAUACUAUUUCGAAGCUAAGACAAAGUCCUACAACUUUCAUGAAGAUCACUUGGUCAAAUUUCUAGUUUAACCUAAUCAAAUUCCCAGUUCACAGAACCAGGUUCCAACUAAUCGGCUAAUUAACCGUACUACAUUUAAAUGGCCAUAUCUCAUGCUACCAAAGUCUCUUUAGGGCGUUCUUGGAGGCGUUGAAAAGCUAAGACAAAGACAUACAACUUCCAUGAAGACUACUCAGUCCAGUUCUCACCCUAACUAGGUCAAAUUUACCAAAACAAUUCCAGAUUUUCCAGUUCGAGAUUCACUGCAGAAAUCAACUAGCAGUCCUGCUUUAUUCACUCAUAUCUCAGCACACACAACUCCAAUUCAGGUAAUUCCAAAGCCAUUUGAAAGCUAAGAUACAAUUAUAUAAUUCUUAAGAAGACAUCAAUAACCAAUUCAGUAAUAUUCCUGGUCAAACUAACCAAUUACAGAAGCUGAUUAGCAUGUUCGGGUAGAAACAGGGCAGCAGGAGUAUUUUAGUCUAUUCACAAGCUACGUUACUCUGAUUGGGUUGCAAUUUUGUAGGAAACUAUAAAAUAUCAUUCUCUACAACUUUUAUGUUUUGAACUAAGGCUAAUUCGGCCUCUAUCAUGAUGAAACAAAAAUGGGCAGAAUGGUGUUUGUGAGAAUUUAAACCUGGAAUUAGAACUUUGUUGCUAGAAUUUCAUGUUUGUUAGGUUUAAAUUAUCAAGACCUCCAACUAGCAACUUCAUAACAUCAAUUAAAGGAUAUGUGAUCAUAAUCAAAGCUGAAAAUGAAACCCUAGCUAAUCAUCCCCCCAACUCCAACAAAACUCACUAAUUAACCGUUGUAACUCAAAAUUAAAAGCUUCUAGCCAUAUUUAACCAAAAUUGGGAAAAAGAAAAGGGUGAAAAGCCAUGAUACCUUCCUAGGAUGCUUGUAGGAGAAGACCACAACCUUUCCUUCAAAAUCUUGCCAUACAAAGCUCUAAUCUUCCCUAAAGAGUAGUUUUUGUGAAGUAAUUCACAAGAUUUAUGAUUGGAGUUUAAGAUUAAGCAAGAAAUUUAGUUGGUGAAGAUGAAGUUUCUCUCCCUUUUUUCUCUCUCUAUUUUCGGCCAAGGUAGUGAAGAAAUGGAGAAGAUUUGGUUAAAUUCUUGUUUUAUGAUGGUUGAUACAAAUUAGUCAAAGCUCCUUCCAAUAAGGGCUUGACAUGUGUCCUUUCUAGAGUUUUCUUUCUUCUUCCUUUGGCCCACCAUAGUGACUCAUGUAUAAGAUAUUUUAAGGCUAAUUAGUCAAAAUAAAAUGAGGAGAUUAAAGAAAUAAAGUAGGGUUUAAUCGGUGUACUCACUCGGUAACGAACGGUACACGUCAAUUCUAUCCAUUUUCCUUAAAUUACACGUACUAGGGUUUUUACUUCCUAUUCACUAACUUUAUAUCAUAGUUUCUAAUCACAUAUUAUUUCUCACCUAAAAGUCACUCUUAAACACCAAAUUUGAUCCUUACUCCAAAUUUGAUCCUUACACUGCGGAUACACGAAAAACCCUAUUUCACUUUGAUUUGAAGUCGGAAAGGAAAAUCCUAAUUUCCUAUGAUCAUUGGCAUUUUUUUUUCUAGGGUGAUUGAGUAGUAAGAUGGUAUAGAAUAAUAUUUUCUAAAUAAUUUUCAAAUAAAAGGAAAUUUUCAAGAAAUAUAUAAGGAAUUUGCAAGUUCUCACACUCUCUCCCCCUUAAGAAAUUUCGUUCUCGAAAUUUUUACCUUCAGAUAGCUCAGGAGCUUGUUGGUUGUCUAAGGCGUAUACCCUUGCCGGUACUUUUGUUCGGUUCCCUUUUUCAUUCGCUGAUUUUGGUUUAGCACCCUCCAGUUGUUGAGUACUCCCUCCGUCCCAAAAUUUGGGACGCUUUUUGGGAAACCAACUUUUUAUGUACAGUAACAUAAUGGGACACACUUAUCUGAUUAUUCCAAUCGUGCCCUUUGUUGUCCGUGGAGUAAAAUAACAAGCUGUUGGGUGUUGGGGACCACUUGCCAUUAAGACAUUUGACUAAAAGGCAAAGACAAGUUAAAGUAAAGCAAACAUCCGUUUCCAACUCUAGCUAUUCCUCUGUAUACUUGGGUUUCAUAAAAUCAACAAGAUCAGUUACAGAAGAUUGACAAUGGAAAAAGGUAAGAUUUCUACAAUUCCGUCUAUCACUUUGUUGGUGCUUUUUUUUUUAUUUUCAUUUUGUUUUAUGAUCUUUUGAUCAAUUUGAAGUAGAUAAUCUUAAGACUUAGCAUAAUUUAGCUAAUCUUUUAUUUGGCGCCAUUUGUUGUUUUUCCCUUUUUUUCUUGAAAUUUGGCGGUUCAUUGAAAAUUUGUAGAUGCAUUUUUUUAAGCUUUUUGUUUCUCACGUUUCUUAUAAAUAGAUUUUGGAAGCUGAUAAUUCUGAUGCCUUUAUUCUCUAUAUAAUGAGAUUAUAGAGAGAUUCGUCUUUUGUACAAAUUCUGUUUGAUAAUAUUCCACAGUGAACAUGGAUAAUCAUACUAGUUUUCAAAAUUAUGAAAGCUCUAGGAAAAAGUUGACAAAUCAGCAAAGGCAAGCCAUAUUUGAAGCAUUAUUGCAAUAUAGUUAUGGUGGGCAACUAGAAAGAGGAUUAACCAAAGUUAUUGCAACACAGUUCAAAAUCAGCACGAGGACAGUACAAAGAAUUUGGGAAAGAGCAAAGUCUUCAAUCAGUAAUGGAGGCUCGGUUGACAUCUCUCGCAGGUUUCCUAAGAGGGCAGGAUGCAAAAGGGUAGAGAUAGACUUCAGCACUAUCAUGGAAAUACCUCUACGGUGUCGAACAAAUAUUCAUUCUCUAUCAACCAAAAUGAAAGUUGCCAAGUCCACUCUUCAUCGACGAAUAAAAGAAGGUGUUAUCAAAGCACAUUCAAAUGCAUUAAAGCCUCACCUUACUGAUGACAAUAAAUUGGUAAGACUCAAAUUUUGUUUGUCAAUGCUUCAACAAGAGAGUCUUAAUGAUGCACCUGUUUUCGAAAACAUGUUCAAUAUGGUUCAUAUCGAUGAAAAGUGGUUCUACAUGACUAAGGAGUCUGAGAAAUACUACCUACAUCCUGAAGAAGAACACCCUAUGAGGACUUGUAGGAGUAAAAAGUUUAUUGUUAAGGUUAUGUUUCUAGCUGCAGUUGCUCGACCUCGCUUUGAUUGUUCUAGAAACAAGCACUUUGAUGGGAAAAUUGGAAUAUUUCCUUUUGCCUUCAAAGAACCAGCUAAAAGGAAUAGCAAAAAUCGUGUUGCUGGUACUCUAGAAACAAAGCCUAUCCUAUCAGUGACCAAGGAAGUGUAUAGAAGGUGCUUAAUUGAUAAUGUUUUGCCUGCAAUUCGUGCUAAAUGGCCACAAAGUAAUGUUAUCAGCCCUAUCUUCAUCCAACAAGAUAAUGCAAAACCACAUAUUGAUCCAAUGGAUGUUGAGUUCAUAGAAGCUGCCACAAGAGAAGGUUUUGAUAUUCGUUUAUCAUUUCAACCACCUAAUAGCCCUGAUAUGAAUGUUCUUGAUCUUGGGUAUUUUAGAGCCAUUCAAUCACUCCAGCAUCAAGAAGCACCUAACUCUAUUGACGAACUAAUUUCUGCUGUUGAAAAGUCUUUCGAUGAAUUAUCAUCUGAAAGUCUCAACAAUGUGUUCUUAACCUUACAACUAUGUAUGCUUGAGGUAAUGAAGAAUUGUGGAGGGAAUAAUUACAAAGUUCCACAUAUUGGGAAGCAACGGUUGAUAAGAGAUGGAAAUCUUCCUUUGCAAAUUGGAUGUGAUAAGGAGCUUAUUGACAAAAUCAUCCAUUAUCUACAAGCAUGAAUGUACUGGUAUUGGUUAGAAUUUCCAUAUUAUUUAAACUUUGCUAACUUCUAAAUUAUGAUAAAGGUAGUGAUAAUGCUAUCUAACUUAUGAUUGAUUUCUUUUUCUCUAUUUUGUUCUGAAGGUAUAUCAAGUCAUGGAUCAAGUUUCUGGACUUGGAUUAUGCUAACGCUUUUUGUGCAGAACAAGGGACUUGACUUUUGCUAUUAAUGCUUUUGUACAAAACAACGGACUUGUCUUUUGCUAGACUUUUGCUACUAAUGCUUUUGUACAAAACAGGGGACUUGACUUUUGCUAGACUUUUGGUACUAAUGCUUUUGUACGACUUGGCUUUUGCUAGACUUUGCUACUAAUGCUUUUGUGCAAAACAGGGGGCUUGACUUUUGGUCCUAAGUUAUUUUUGAGGGUUGCUUAUAAGAUUUGGUUGUCACUCAAAUCUAUUUUAGGGGCAUAGAUUUUGUAUUUUGUUGAUUUGUAUAGACAACCAUGAACUCUUGGAAGCAAUGAGCAGUAAAUGUUAUUUUAGUCUUGGUGCUUUCAAAUUAAUGCCUUGCUUGGAUGUUUAGGAUUUCAACGUAAUACGCACUAGUUGAUCAUUUUAUUUUUUCUUUGAUAUUUUUUUCACUCUAUUUAUUUGUUAGUUUGAUACUAGAGGCAAAUUUAAGAGCAAGAACACAAGUUAUAGGACAAAUUUUACCUUUUCUUUUUUCACCUUUACAUUAAAAAAAUUAAAUAGUGAUAAACAAAAGGGUAAGGAAUGCAUCUAGCAUUCUUUAUUUGUUUAUCCAAAAAAAAAACUUGAUUUGUAUUAUUGUAAGAAAUUUGUUCUUUUGUUAAAAAAAAAAAGAUAGAAAGACAAGAAACGAAACUUUCAUUGCAUCUGCAAACACUUGUGUAGCUUGAAAAGAGUAAAGAAAAGAAAAAAAUGAAAAACAAGGAAAAAAAAGAAAAAAGGAAAAAAAAAACAAAGAUUUGAAGUGCAAGAAAAGAAAUGGAAAUGAAAAACACAAAAAAAAAAAGCAAGGAAAAAGAAGAAAAAAGAAAAACAAA